RNAcentral lists this ribosomal RNA (625 nucleotides) under Halomonas sp. TA56. RNAcentral describes it as "bacterial SSU rRNA". It matches the Rfam family "Bacterial small subunit ribosomal RNA", at positions 155 to 775 of the family's 1533-position model. The record is from RNAcentral. Lineage: Bacteria; Pseudomonadati; Pseudomonadota; Gammaproteobacteria; Oceanospirillales; Halomonadaceae.
AACUCAGGCUAAUACCGCAUACGCCCUACGGGGGAAAGCAGGGGAUCUUCGNACCUUGCGCUAUCGGAUGAGCCUAUGUCGGAUUAGCUUGUUGGUGAGGUAAUGGCUCACCAAGGCGACGAUCCGUAGCUGGUCUGAGAGGAUGAUCAGCCACAUCGGGACUGAGACACGGCCCGAACUCCUACGGGAGGCAGCAGUGGGGAAUAUUGGACAAUGGGCGAAAGCCUGAUCCAGCCAUGCCGCGUGUGUGAAGAAGGCUUUCGGGUUGUAAAGCACUUUCAGUGAGGAAGAAAGCCUUGGGGCUAAUACCCCCAAGGGACGACAUCACUCACAGAAGAAGCACCGGCUAACUCCGUGCCAGCAGCCGCGGUAAUACGGAGGGUGCGAGCGUUAAUCGGAAUUACUGGGCGUAAAGCGCGCGUAGGUGGCUUGAUAAGCCGGUUGUGAAAGCCCCGGGCUCAACCUGGGAACGGCAUCCGGAACUGUCAGGCUAGAGUGCAGGAGAGGAAGGUAGAAUUCCCGGUGUAGCGGUGAAAUGCGUAGAGAUCGGGAGGAAUACCAGUGGCGAAGGCGGCCUUCUGGACUGACACUGACACUGAGGUGCGAAAGCGUGGGUAGCAAACAG